RNAcentral lists this ribosomal RNA (296 nucleotides) under Pneumocystis sp. L5. RNAcentral describes it as "partial large subunit ribosomal RNA". Lineage: Eukaryota; Fungi; Ascomycota; Pneumocystomycetes; Pneumocystales; Pneumocystaceae. The record is from RNAcentral.
AUCGGACUAGGAUAUAGCUGGUUUUCUGCGAAAUCUAUUUUAGUAGAUGAUUUAUAUAUUUUAUUAGAGGGUAUAGCACUGAAUAUUUACAAUCUAUAAUUAUUCUGUGUAUAAUGAAUAUAUAGAUAUAUAUAUAUAUAUGUAUAUAUAUAUUAUAUAAUAUAUAUAAUAAUUAUAUAAUAAUUGAGUAAUGAUAAGUUGUUGAGAGGAGUAUGAAAGUACUUACUUUGGAUAUUUAAUCUCAGAAUAUCUAAUAAAAAGAAAUAAGUUAUCAGACUUAUUGCGAGAAGGUGAUA